This 387-nucleotide ribosomal RNA is filed under the name uncultured bacterium. RNAcentral describes it as "bacterial SSU rRNA". It matches the Rfam family "Bacterial small subunit ribosomal RNA", at positions 28 to 417 of the family's 1533-position model. The record is from RNAcentral.
GACGAACGCUGGCGGCGUGCUUAACACAUGCAAGUCGAGCGGUAAGGCCCUUUCGGGGGUACACGAGCGGCGAACGGGUGAGUAACACGUGGGUGACCUGCCCUCAGCUCUGGGAUAAGCCUGGGAAACCGGGUCUAAUACCGGAUAUGACUCCAUGACGCAUGUUGUGGGGUGGAAAGCCUUGUGCGGCUGAGGAUGGGCCCGCGGCCUAUCAGCUUGUUGGCGGGGUGAUGGCCACCAAGGCGACGACGGGUAGCCGGCCUGAGAGGGCGACCGGCCACACUGGGACUGAGACACGGCCCAGACUCCUACGGGAGGCAGCAGUGGGGAAUCUUGCGCAAUGGGCGAAAGCCUGACGCAGCGACGCCGCGUGAGGGAUGACGGCCU